GAUCCUAAGAUUGGGUCGGGUCGGAUUCGAAUCAACCCGGGCCUUAAACGGCGCCGUUUUGGGAAGGCUAUUUAAGCCAAAAUUUGGUUAAAAAAUUUCAUUUCCUUUCAGUUUUUAAAAAAAAUAAAAAAAACUUUCAAAAACAGCUCUCCCCCCUCUCCAGACGUCCGACCUAGGUCCGAUCAUCGGCCACCGACCGGUCGCCGAUCGCCGACGCCGGCACCACCAUACGCGGUGGCCGGAAGAGAGGGAAAGUCCCUAAUCUGGUCCUUUCGACCUUCUAAACCCAAAUCCGGGUUCCAAAUCCCCAAAAUCGAACCAAAAAUGCUAAGGAAAUCAAGAAACCCUUCGGUUCCCGACCAUCUAUCCUCGGAGACGACUGCUUUGGCCGUUCCAACGGCGUUUCAAAGAUGAACCAAAGUACGAUAGGGGAUGCGGCUAGUGCAGGGACUUCGACUGCGGUGCGAAUGUGGAAAACUGCCUAGGGUUUCCCUUGUGUUGGAAACGCUGGGCCUCUAUCUUGUUUUAGGUCCGGGCCAUAUAGGCCAACUGUAAUUUGGGCCCUUGUUUUAAAAUGGGCCAUGUAUUCUGGGCCGUUUUAUUUACUUCAUGUAGGCCGGGUAAAAUUUAGGUAUUACAGACAUUUUGCUCAA
Molecule: long non-coding RNA, 653 nt
Organism: Gossypium raimondii (Peruvian cotton)
Lineage: Eukaryota; Viridiplantae; Streptophyta; Magnoliopsida; Malvales; Malvaceae
Exons: 2
Source: RefSeq, a predicted model, not a curated record